GACGAACGCUGGCGGCGUGCCUAAUACAUGCAAGUCGAGCGCAGGAAACUGACGGAACUCUUCGGAGGGAAGGCAGUGGAAUGAGCGGCGGACGGGUGAGUAACACGUAAGGAACCUGCCUCAAGGAUUGGGAUAACUCCGAGAAAUCGGAGCUAAUACCGGAUAGUUCAACGGACCGCAUGGUCCGUUGAUGAAAGGCGCUCCGGCGUCACCUUGAGAUGGCCUUGCGGUGCAUUAGCUAGUUGGUGGGGUAACGGCUCACCAAGGCGACGAUGCAUAGCCGACCUGAGAGGGUGAUGGGCCACACUGGGACUGAGACACGGCCCAGACUCCUACGGGAGGCAGCAGUAGGGAAUCUUCCACAAUGGACGAAAGUCUGAUGGAGCAACGCCGCGUGAGUGGUGAAGGUUUUCGGAUCGUAAAACUCUGUUGUAAGGGAAGAACACGUACGAGAGGAAAUGCUCGUACCUUGACGGUACCUUACGAGAAAGCCACGGCUAACUACGUGCCAGCCGCCGCCGUAA
RNAcentral lists this ribosomal RNA (524 nucleotides) under uncultured bacterium. RNAcentral's name for it is "partial 16S ribosomal RNA". It matches the Rfam family "Bacterial small subunit ribosomal RNA", at positions 28 to 523 of the family's 1533-position model. The record is from RNAcentral.